CAAAAAGUAGUUUAAUUUCAGAAUUCUAGCUUUGGGAGUUAGGGGUAGGAGUUAAAAUCUCCUCUUUUUG
This 70-nucleotide transfer RNA is filed under the name Epinephelus merra (honeycomb grouper). Its description in RNAcentral is "tRNA-Pro". It matches the Rfam family "tRNA". Rfam says of the family: Transfer RNA (tRNA) molecules are approximately 80 nucleotides in length. The record is from RNAcentral. Lineage: Eukaryota; Metazoa; Chordata; Actinopteri; Perciformes; Serranidae.